RNAcentral lists this ribosomal RNA (490 nucleotides) under uncultured bacterium. RNAcentral's name for it is "partial 16S ribosomal RNA". It matches the Rfam family "Bacterial small subunit ribosomal RNA", at positions 30 to 507 of the family's 1533-position model. The record is from RNAcentral.
AUUGAACGCUGGCGGCAGGCCUAACACAUGCAAGUCGAACGGUAACAGGAAGAAGCUUGCUUCUUUGCUGACGAGUGGCGGACGGGUGAGUAAUGUCUGGGAAACUGCCUGAUGGAGGGGGAUAACUACUGGAAACGGUAGCUAAUACCGCAUAACGUCGCAAGACCAAAGAGGGGGACCUUCGGGCCUCUUGCCAUCGGAUGUGCCCAGAUGGGAUUAGCUAGUAGGUGGGGUAACGGCUCACCUAGGCGACGAUCCCUAGCUGGUCUGAGAGGAUGACCAGCCACACUGGAACUGAGACACGGUCCAGACUCCUAAGGGAGGCAGCAGUGGGGAAUAUUGCACAAUGGGCGCAAGCCUGAUGCAGCCAGGCCGCGUGUAUGAAGAAGGCCUUCGGGUUGUAAAGUACUUUCAGCGGGGAGGAAGGGAGUAAAGUUAAUACCUUUGCUAAUUGACGUUACCCGCAGAAGAAGCACCGGCUAACUCCGUG